CAUCCCGGGCCCGGAAAGAAUGCUGUGUAGGCACGGCCUAACCACCUAAGUGAGGGCACUGAAGCUGCCGGGGGAAGGGCAAGGGCCGCCUUGAAGAGCCCAAGCACCGUGGCACUGGAUUCGUUUUGGUAUCUUUUUCUUUACCCCAUCAUGGAGAACAGCAAAUUCAAAAGCUCUGCAAGUCAGGCAGGUUAGCAAAGAUUAAAAAAAACAAAAACUGGGGAAGAUAGAGACCAAUGCUGGCAAGAAUAUGGGGAAAGAAACAAUUUCGUGCUCAGUUGCUGGAGAAGUUGAAAGACUGGACAAGAAAGCAAGUACCAAUUACAACCUCUCUACAAGAAAUUCGCUUUAAAUAUGAAGACACCAGUUAAAGAGUCCCUUGCUGAGAGACCAAUGAUCUCUGCCCAGUGAUCAUGUGAUUUGUUUUGGCCAAUGAAAUGAGUAUAGGCUACAGAAGUCACUUCCAGGAAGAAGUUUCAAGAGUCAGCACAUGGUUCACUGGUUCUUUUUGCCCUCUGCCAAGAGAUCGGUAAUCAUCUAGACUUUGCUCUACCAGACUAGGUCCUGAAACAAGAGUCCCGGCUGUCCUGGGAUGAACACUUAGCAUGAUUGAGAAGUAAACUUUUGUUGUUGCAAACCACUGUGAUGAGAGUUCACUGAAAUUUGGAGGCCACUGAGAUUUGGAGGCCAUCCCAAACACUAAGAUUUGGGAUGGGGACAUUUGGGCAGGUAUAGAUAAGGCUAAAUUGGACAGGCAGCAACCUGACAAGUGUGUACAGGAAUGGCUUCUAAUGGUGUUGUUAGCUCAAAAAGAAUUAACUGUGAAAUUUAAUUAAAUUAACUGAUACAUUGAAUUGUAUCCUAAAAGAUACAAAAAUAGCAAAAUUUUUUCCUUGAAGUCACUUUUCAAGAUUCUCAAAUAGUUUUUAUUCGCAGACCUCUUUGAUACAGAGACACAGAAAACUAUUUGCCAAGACGUAAAUACACACAUACUUGCCUCUCUACUCUCGGCUGUGUGAUCUUUAACAUCUUACACAACAAACCUUUUUGGAUAUUGCAGCCUAGGCAAAGAAUGUCCCAUUCUAUUGUACCAGUCAAGCUAAUGGCAAGAAGCUGGGAUUUGAAAGAAAUUGAAUGAAGAGACUUUUUUAGAGUUGUGGGCAAGAGUAAGGAAUCACCCAGGGAUGCUGAGACACCCAAGAACUACCAACACCAGGAAGAUAAUAAUACCUCCUGAAAAGCCACUCUGAGGAGAAAAAGAUGUGAGAAGAAAGAAGGGGCGAGAGUCAAAUUUUUUCCUGUUCCUAUGGGAUCCCACUGACUGGAAUUUCUAAGGGUGGAAGUGGCACAGAGGAAGCCCACUUACUGCUGGAGAAGGAAGGUCGGAAUGGGGUUUGCAGCAUCCUCAUUGAGCUGGCUCAGAAGGCUUCUCUGCCCUGACCCAGCUCCAGGCACGUAGCUGUCAGGCUUGUUUGGGGUGCCUGUAUCUGGAUCUCGUUUGUGGGGAUGGACUUUCCUCAGAAAAUACAAAGAUACCAGCUUGUUCUACUGCUUCAAGCCAUUCCCUGUGGACUGCUCUUGGCCUCUGCCAUCACAGACUAUGACUAGAAAAAGAAACUUGACAGACAGAAAGAAAAACCCUUAACAGCUAGAGUUUUAAUUUGCCUACAUGGGAAAAAAUAUUUCAGUUUCUGAGAUUUCUCCUGGGUUGCCUGAUUUGGAGGUGGAAAGAGACACCAGAGGAAAAAUCACGAAAAAAAGAAACACUAUGAAAAGAGCAAAUCUUGAGAAUUGUGUUUAAUAACAGCAAUGAUGAAUUUCCUGGCAGUCUGUACUGAGCAGUUAAAGACCAACCAGCAUGUGAAGGAGGCUGAAUUAGUUAGAAUGGUCUAAAGCAGCCUAAUAAAGAGUGCCAGAAGAUUUAUUCUCUCAUAUGUAUAAUUUUGAGAUAUGAAUGAUUCUGUAUUUAAGAAAUGUGUUAUAACCAUCACGUUAAUUUUUACUAAGAUCUUCUAGUUUGACUCAAAGCAGGGUCUGAAAAAUGGAAGAACAAUGCUUUUAGCCACCAAGUUAGUGCCCCACAGAAUAUUUUAAAAUUAUUUAACACACAUCAUCUGAGUGUCAACAACUCAUCACAGAUAAACUAUCUAAUUAACAGAACCCUUCAUAGUAUUUGAUAACUGAGUCUUGGCUCAGUUUUUAUACCAGAAGGGCAAUCCUUGAUAAGCAGAAAUUAUAAAAGCAGAUUUUUAAAAGCAUUAAUUCAGGAAUAAAGUCAAAUUCGUCUCAAAUUAACCCCCUAUUGGUAUUUAAGCUUAUUUUAAGCCACUUGGCUUAAAGAUAGCACUUGGAGAGGCUGCCUUUGACCAGAGUCAGGCUUUGUCUGGACUGUCAGCCUCUAUAUUUUGAUUCCCUUUGUUGUGUACCAGCCUCCCCAAGCCCAGGGUAAUUGAUAUGGGUUCUGUGCUAGGGACAGAUGAGUUUAUCCUGUCAUUGAAGCCCUUUACAAGAUGUCUUAAUUAUUAGAGCUCAUUCGAGGAUUUGUGCUCUGUGUUCUACUUAGGAAGCUCAAUUGUUUUCUCUUUCCAAUUCCGUGUUGGCACCACUUCCAAUGAUAAGUCCAAUAAAGAAUUAGUAAUUUGGCUCCCUGUGGUCAUGGAAAAAGGACAGCAAGAAUGAGCAACAAUAAUAGUUCCUGUUGGAAUAGUAUGUUUUUAAUACAAGAAAGUUAUUACUGGUACAGUUUAGGGACAAAGACUCAUGCAAAAGUAGAGAAGGAAUUUGAAUUUCUGUGAGGAUUGUAAAUUUUGAUCCUUUGACCUCUACUAAUAAUUAAUAUUCAUUUUGCAACUAAGUGGGAAAUUCUAGUUUCCAAUGGGCAGAAUUGGGGAUGAAGGAAAAGUAAGACAUUUCCAUUAAAAAUAGUGUCCCUAUGUUUAUAAUACCAAGUGACAAGUAAGAAGAGACACAAUUAAAUUAUGGUUGUUGCAAUUAGAUAAAUCAGGUUACCAAACUCAACAGACAGAUUUGGUGGAAGUGAAGUCUUUUUGGCUAGGACUCUGCUGAUAUAUUUCUUGGGGCCUACAUGUUUAAUUAAGUCUUGCUGAAUCUCAUCCUGCGUAGUAGCUAGAACAGUGGGGGCAUCCAUACAUUAACAGGAGAAUGUACUUCUCAAGAUCCCAAACAAUAUGCACUGCCUGUUUCCAUUUUGGUGUUAUGAAUGGGUCAGGGGCAUAGACGGUUGAUACCCAAGUAUUAGUAGUAAUUGUCUCUGGGUGGUGGAACUACAAAUAAUUUUUAUUUUCCUUUUUUGUGUUUAGCUCUGUUUUCUAAAAUGAGCAUACGUUACUUCUGUGAUAAUAAAAUAAUUAUUUUCAAAGUGCCUGCUUUGUGAUAUUCCUUCAGAUGCAUACAUCCUGAUUUCCCACAUUCUGGUGGGGGAAGUCAGGAUAUACAGUGUAAACAAACUCUUAGCUAUUUCGUUCUUGUUAUUACAUUGGUUUCUGGGGUUGAUUAUUAUCUCGAUUUUACCCUAUGUCUGAAAACCAUUAUUCAGUCAGAGCAGACAGACAUGGCACAUAAUCUUGGGACCUAGGGAGAUCUUGUUUCUGAAACACAUAAAUUCAAACAGUUUAAAAACUUUUCCUCAUUUCUCUUCUUACUCACUACUACUCUUUGCUUAUAAGUAGACUGACACAGAGGAAACGGUAGCAUUGUAGUUUUUCAAUAUUACGUUAACAUCAUACAACUUAGCAAGGGGACAGAAAGAUAUAGGUUGUGUUUGUGUAGGGAUUUUCUUGACACCCAACUUGUGGAUGGGUACUUCUUGGCAAAUGGACUUUGAUAUCGCUAUUGUCAGCUUCACAGAAUGGCCCCCUUGAGUCUAAUCCCCUUGAGAGAAACUUAAUUUUCCUAGAUUAUCUCCUCGUGGUUAGGAUCAUUUUAUCUACUGAGUGAUAACUUAAUGGACAUUUGAGGAGAUUCCAUGGCCUCGUUUGGAAGCUGACUAUCAAGAACUAGUUUUUAUUUUUAGCCUAAACUUCUCAUAUUUCAUUUUUCCAUUCUUUUAAUUUCCUGCAUUUGUGUCCAGAUCACUGAACAGAGAUCAUUCAUGCACUUGCAGGCCAAUGUUAAUUGAUCCCUUAACCAUCUCUUCUCUAGGUCUAAUUUCCUUUAGAAAAUAUGGCUUCUAUUUCUUCAUAUGGCUCUUCUUUGGUCCUAUAUGGAGGCCACCAAUAUGGUAUAAUGAAUAAUCAGGUUUUUAUUUUUAAGAAGUUAAGGCAAUAAUUCUCAUUAGUCAUGGUUCAAAAUGAUGUGUGGAACCCCGUCUCUGGAAAUACUGAGUUUAUAGUUCUGGAGUAAGACAUAGCUUGCCCUUACAUUUUUUUAACAGUGUCUUCUGAACAAGAAAUUUUUAAUUUUGAUAAAUUAUAAUUUAUAAUUUUUUUUGUAGUCUGUAAUUUUUAAGUCUUAUUUAGGAAAUCUUGCCUGACCUAAGGUGCCUAAAAUUUUCUUGUGAAAACUUCAUAGUUUUAACUUUUAAAUUUGGGUCUAUGAUCCAUUUCAAGUUAAUGCUUUUACGGAGGUAAGGGUCCAGAGUUGUGGUCUUAUGUCUUUUAGAUAUUUUGCAUGUGAAUAUUCAAUUUCCAAUUGUCCUAGCACACUGAGAAUCAAUUUCCUACAUUGAAUUGCCUUAGCACCUUUGUCAAAUAUCAACAGAUCAUACUAUAUGUGUUGGUCCAUUUCUGGACUUCUAUUCUGUUCCAUUGAUCUAUAUAUUAAUUUUUAUACCAAUAUCUUGAUUAUGGUAGCUUUAUUAUAAUUCUUAAAAUCAGGUAAGUGUAAGUCCUCUAACUUUUUUGUUUUCAAAAUUGUUUUGAACAUUCUAGGUCCUUAGCAUUUUGAAUAUAUUUUACAAU
Equus caballus (horse) is the source of this 4919-nucleotide non-coding RNA. The record is from RefSeq and is a predicted model, not a curated record. Lineage: Eukaryota; Metazoa; Chordata; Mammalia; Perissodactyla; Equidae.